RNAcentral lists this long non-coding RNA (683 nucleotides) under Homo sapiens (human). Its description in RNAcentral is "non-protein coding lnc-TMEM121-2:16". The record is from RNAcentral. Lineage: Eukaryota; Metazoa; Chordata; Mammalia; Primates; Hominidae.
CCUGGAAGAGGCACGUUCUUUUCUUUGUUGCCGUUGGGGUGCUGGACUUUGCACACCACGUGUUCGUCUGUGCCCUGCAUGACGUCCUUGGAAGGCAGCAGCACCUGUGAGGUGGCUGCGUACUUGCCCCCUCUCAGGACUGAUGGGAAGCCCCGGGUGCUGCUGAUGUCAGAGUUGUUCUUGUAUUUCCAGGAGAAAGUGAUGGAGUCGGGAAGGAAGUCCUGUGCGAGGCAGCCAACGGCCACGCUGCUCGUAUCCGACGGGGAAUUCUCACAGGAGACGAGGGGGAAAAGGGUUGGGGCGGAUGCACUCCUGAAGAGACGGUGACCAUUGUCCCUUGGCCCCAGAUAUCAAAAGCAUCACACAGGGACACAGUCCCUGUUCGUGUCUUUCGCACAGUAAUAUACGGCCGUGUCCUCGGCUCUCAGGCUGUUCAUUUGCAGAUACAGCGUGUUCUUGGAAUUGUCUCUGGAGAUGGUGAACCGGCCCUUCACGGAGUCUGCGUAGUAUGUGCUACCACCACUACCACUAAUAGCUGAGACCCACUCCAGCCCCUUCCCUGGAGCCUGGCGGACCCAGCUCAUGGCAUAGCUGCUAAAGGUGAAUCCAGAGGCUGCACAGGAGAGUCUCAGGGACCCCCCAGGCUGUACCAAGCCUCCCCCAGACUCCACCAGCUGCACCUC